AUGAAUCGACGCUCGCGCCGCAGAGGCAAGCGCGGGCGCACGAGCCCGGACCCCCCAGCGAAGCGCCGCCGCGGCCCGCUGGAGUCGAUGCCCGGCGAGCUGGAGGCCGCUCCAGCUCCAGCGCCGUCCGUAGUGAUGGUCGCCGGGCUGCCGCCCGGGUGCGGGGUGAUAGAGCUAAAGUCGCGCCUGGAGGCGUACGGCCCCGUCGCGCGCACUCGCAUAGACGCAGCCGCGGCCACCGGGCACGUCUCCUUCCGCUCCGCUGCCGCUGCCACGGCCGCCAUUGCCGCUUCCCUCGACCCCGAGUGCGGCAUCACCAUCGGAUCCAAGAAGGUUUUAGUUGUACAGGCAAGUGAGGCGCCAAACAAUUCGACAAGCGUAGUUCAAUCAGACCCAGCGGAUGCGAGUAACAAUUUUGUGAGUGAUGCUUUGGCCAUCCCAAGCUCCAGAAUAGCUCCAGAAGCAAUCCACAAAGCGCGAGAAAUAGUCGCUUAUGAUGAUCUGUUCUGA
RNAcentral lists this ribosomal RNA (510 nucleotides) under Triticum aestivum (bread wheat). Its description in RNAcentral is "partial small subunit ribosomal RNA". Lineage: Eukaryota; Viridiplantae; Streptophyta; Magnoliopsida; Poales; Poaceae. The record is from RNAcentral.